AAACCCAACCGGGAUUGCCUCCAGUAACGGCGAGUGAAGCGGACAAGAAGCUCAAAUUUGAAACUGGCCCCUUCCGGGGUCCGCGUUUGUAAAUUUGCAGAAGGAUGCUUCGGGUGCGGCCCCCUGUCCUAAGUGCCCUGGAACGGGCCCGUCAGAAGAGGGUGAGAAUCCCGUCUUGGGCAGGGAUGCCCGUGCCCUGUGUUGAAGCUCCUUCAC
RNAcentral lists this ribosomal RNA (216 nucleotides) under uncultured fungus. RNAcentral's name for it is "partial 26S ribosomal RNA". It matches the Rfam family "Eukaryotic large subunit ribosomal RNA", at positions 61 to 260 of the family's 3401-position model. Lineage: Eukaryota; Fungi. The record is from RNAcentral.